Molecule: ribosomal RNA, 813 nt
Filed under: uncultured bacterium
Lineage: Bacteria
Description: bacterial SSU rRNA
Rfam family: Bacterial small subunit ribosomal RNA
Source: RNAcentral
CAGUCGAGGGGCAGCAUUUUAGUUUGCUUGCAACUGAAGAUGGCGACCGGCGCACGGGUGAGUAACACGUAUCCAACCUGCCGAUAACUCCGGAAUAGCCUUUCGAAAGAAAGAUUAAUACCGGAUAGCAUACGAAUAUCGCAUGAUAUUUUUAUUAAAGAAUUUCGGUUAUCGAUGGGGAUGCGUUCCAUUAGUUUGUUGGCGGGGUAACGGCCCACCAAGACUACGAUGGAUAGGGGUUCUGAGAGGAAGGUCCCCCACAUUGGAACUGAGACACGGUCCAAACUCCUACGGGAGGCAGCAGUGAGGAAUAUUGGUCAAUGGGCGAGAGCCUGAACCAGCCAAGUAGCGUGAAGGAUGAAGGCUCUAUGGGUCGUAAACUUCUUUUAUAUGGGAAUAAAGUUUUCCACGUGUGGAAUUUUGUAUGUACCAUAUGAAUAAGGAUCGGCUAACUCCGUGCCAGCAGCCGCGGUAAUACGGAGGAUCCGAGCGUUAUCCGGAUUUAUUGGGUUUAAAGGGAGCGUAGGUGGAUUGUUAAGUCAGUUGUGAAAGUUUGCGGCUCAACCGUAAAAUUGCAGUUGAAACUGGCAGUCUUGAGUACAGUAGAGGUGGGCGGAAUUCGUGGUGUAGCGGUGAAAUGCUUAGAUAUCACGAAGAACUCCGAUUGCGAAGGCAGCUCACUAGACUGUCACUGACACUGAUGCUCGAAAGUGUGGGUAUCAAACAGGAUUAGAUACCCUGGUAGUCCACACAGUAAACGAUGAAUACUCGCUGUUUGCGAUAUACAGUAAGCGGCCAAGCGAAAGCAUUAAG